GUACUUAACACAUGCAAGUCGAACGGGGAUCAUCAGUGUAGCAAUACAUUGCUGGUCCUAGUGGCGCACGGGUGAGUAACACGUGGGUAACCUGCCCUUGAGUUCGGGAUACCCCCUCGAAAGGGGGGCUAAUACCGGAUACGUUCCUCGGAUCGACAGGUCUGGGGAGGAAAGGUGGCGCAAGCUGCCGCUCUUGGAGGGGCUCGCGGCCUAUCAGCUAGUUGGCGGGGUAACGGCCCACCAAGGCUAUGACGGGUAGCUGGUCUGAGAGGACGACCAGCCACACGGGGACUGAGACACGGCCCCG
RNAcentral lists this ribosomal RNA (307 nucleotides) under uncultured bacterium. Its description in RNAcentral is "bacterial SSU rRNA". It matches the Rfam family "Bacterial small subunit ribosomal RNA", at positions 44 to 334 of the family's 1533-position model. The record is from RNAcentral.